Molecule: ribosomal RNA, 354 nt
Filed under: Bacillus sp. ISL-77
Lineage: Bacteria; Bacillati; Bacillota; Bacilli; Caryophanales; Bacillaceae
Description: bacterial SSU rRNA
Rfam family: Bacterial small subunit ribosomal RNA
Source: RNAcentral
UUCUUGGAGAGUUUGAUCCUGGCUCAGGACGAACGCUGGCGGCGUGCCUAAUACAUGCAAGUCGAGCGAAUCAAUAGGAGCUUGCUCCUGUUGAUUAGCGGCGGACGGGUGAGUAACACGUGGGCAACCUGCCUGUAAGACUGGGAUAACACCGGGAAACCGGUGCUAAUACCGGAUAAUCCUUUUCCUCUCAUGAGGAAAAGCUGAAAGUCGGUUUCGGCUGACACUUACAGAUGGGCCCGCGGCGCAUUAGCUAGUUGGUGAGGUAACGGCUCACCAAGGCGACGAUGCGUAGCCGACCUGAGAGGGUGAUCGGCCACACUGGGACUGAGACACGGCCCAGACUCCUACGGG